Molecule: long non-coding RNA, 1350 nt
Organism: Oncorhynchus keta (chum salmon)
Lineage: Eukaryota; Metazoa; Chordata; Actinopteri; Salmoniformes; Salmonidae
Exons: 9
Source: RefSeq, a predicted model, not a curated record
UGCAUGAGCCCAAAAAUCUAUAGUUGUUGAUAGAGUGAAGGAGGUGGUGUGUUGAGAGUACUGAGAGAGUGAAGCAGGUGGUGUGUUGAUGAUAGUGCUGAGAGAGUGAAGCAGGUGGUGUGUUGAUGAUAGUGCUGAGAGAGUGAAGCAGGUGGUGUGUUGAUGAUAGUACUGAGAGCGAGUGAAGCAGGUGGUGUGUUGAUGAGAGUACUGAGAGAGAGUGAAGCAGGCGGUGUGUUGAUGAGAGUACUGAGAGAGUGAAGCAGGUGGUGUGUUGAUGAUAGCACUGAGAGAGUGAAGCAGGUGGUGUGUUGAUGAUAGCACUGAGAGAGUGAAGCAGGUGGUGUGUUGAUGAUAGUGCUGAGAGAGUGAAGCAGGUGGUGUGUUGAUGAUAGUGCUGAGAGAGUGAAGCAGGUGGUGUGUUGAUGAGAGUAUUGAGAGUGUGAAGCAGGUGAUGUGUUGAUGAGAGUACUGAGAGAGUGAAGCAGGUGGUGUGAUGAUAGUGCUGAGAGAGUGAAGCAGGUGAUGUGUUGAUGAGAGUACUGAGAGAGUGAAGCAGGUGGUGUGUUGAUGAGAGUACUGAGAGAGUGAAGCAGGUGGUGUGUUGAGAGUACUGAGAGAGAGUGAAGCAGGUGGUGUGUUGAUGAUAGUGCUGAGAGAGUGAAGCAGGUGAUGUGUUGAUGAGAGUACUGAGAGAGUGAAGCAGGUGAUGUGUUGAUGAUAGUACUGAGAGAGUGAAGCAGGUGGUGUGUUGAGAGUACUGAGAGAGUGAAGCAGGUGGUGUGUUGAUAGUGCUGAGAGAGUGAAGCAGGUGAUGUGUUGAUGAGAGUACUGAGAGAGUGAAGCAGGUGGUGUGUUGAUGAUAGUGCUGAGAGAGUGAAGCAGGUGGUGUGAUGAUAGUACUGAGAGAGUGAAGCAGGAGGUGUGAUGAUAGUACUGAGAGAGUGAAGCAGGUGGUGUGAUGAUAGUACUGAGAGAGUGAAGCAGGUGAUGUGUUGAUGAGAGUACUGAGAGAGUGAAGCAGGUGGUGUGUUGAUGAUAGUACUGAGAGAGUGAAGCAGGUGAUGUGUUGAUGAUAGUACUGAGAGAGUGAAGCAGGUGAUGUGUUGAUGAUACUGAGAGAGUGAAGCAGGUGGUGUGUUGAUGAGAGUACUGAGAGAGUGAAGCAGGUGAUGUGUUGAUGAUAGUACUGAGAGAGUGAAGCAGGUGGUGUGUUGAUGAGAGUACUGAGAGAGUGAAGCAGGUGGUGUGUUGAUGAUAGUACUGAGAGAGUGAAGCAGGUGGUGUGUUGAUGAGAGUACUGAGAGAGAGUGAAGCAGGUGUGUGGUUGCGAAGACCCACAUAUAAAAA